AAACCCGGAAGCAGGGGAGGAACUUCGGAGCGGUCUCCCGGGUUACCGGGAGGCGGAGCCGCCGAGCCCGCUGUGGCCCGGAUGUUCGGUGCAGCUGCCAGAUCUGCUGAUCUAGUGCUUCUCGAAAAAAACCUUCAGGCGGCCCAUGGGUAUGCCCAAGAGGACAGAGAACGAAUGCACAGAAAUAUUGUCAGCCUUGCACAGAAUCUCCUGAACUUUAUGAUUGGCUCUAUCUUGGAUUUAUGGCAAUGCUUCCUCUGGUUUUACAUUGGUUCUUCAUUGAAUGGUACUCGGGGAAAAAGAGUUCCAGCGCACUUUUCCAACACAUCACUGCAUUAUUUGAAUGCAGCAUGGCAGCUAUUAUCACCUUACUUGUGAGUGAUCCAGUUGGUGUUCUUUAUAUUCGUUCAUGUCGAGUAUUGAUGCUUUCUGACUGGUACACGAUGCUUUACAACCCAAGUCCAGAUUACGUUACCACAGUGCACUGUACUCAUGAAGCCGUCUACCCACUAUAUACCAUUGUAUUUAUCUAUUAUGCAUUCUGCUUGGUAUUAAUGAUGCU
Molecule: small RNA, 562 nt
Filed under: Pongo abelii (Sumatran orangutan)
Lineage: Eukaryota; Metazoa; Chordata; Mammalia; Primates; Hominidae
Description: processed transcript
Source: RNAcentral